Hippocampus comes (tiger tail seahorse) is the source of this 258-nucleotide long non-coding RNA. RefSeq lists it as uncharacterized. The transcript is spliced from 2 exons. The record is from RefSeq and is a predicted model, not a curated record. NCBI's taxonomy places the organism in Eukaryota, Metazoa, Chordata, Actinopteri, Syngnathiformes, Syngnathidae.
AUGCAUAAACGUCAUUUGUUCGGGUUAAAAUAUAUGAAUAAAAACAUAAAAUAAGUAAUUUCUUGGCUGUCAGCUAACGAUACGUUCACCCCGGAACAACAAGAACUCUCACAACAGCACAAAAAAGCGUUCUCAAGUGGAGAAAAUAAAGUCAAUGAACAUCCGAAAAGAAGGAAUCCAGCACCCCGGCUCUCCACCCAGACCACCCUCGUCCGGAUCAGAUGUUGCAUUUUGAAAUAAAAGGCCUCUGAAAACUGG